This 484-nucleotide ribosomal RNA is filed under the name uncultured bacterium. Its description in RNAcentral is "partial 16S ribosomal RNA". It matches the Rfam family "Bacterial small subunit ribosomal RNA", at positions 28 to 523 of the family's 1533-position model. The record is from RNAcentral.
GAUGAACGCUGGCGGCGUGCUUAACACAUGCAAGUCGAACGGUGAAGCAGGAGCUUGCUCUUGUGGAUCAGUGGCGAACGGGUGAGUAACACGUGAGCAACCUGCCCCUGACUCUGGGAUAAGCGCUGGAAAUGGCGUCUAAUACUGGAUAUGUGAUGUGACCGCAUGGUCUGCAUCUGGAAAGAAUUUCGGUUGGGGAUGGGCUCGCGGCCUAUCAGCUUGUUGGUGAGGUAAUGGCUCACCAAGGCGUCGACGGGUAGCCGGCCUGAGAGGGUGACCGGCCACACUGGGACUGAGACACGGCCCAGACUCCUACGGGAGGCGGCAGUGGGGAAUAUUGCACAAUGGGCGGAAGCCUGAUGCAGCAACGCCGCGUGAGGGAUGACGGCCUUCGGGUUGUAAACCUCUUUUAGCAGGGAAGAAGCGAAAGUGACGGUACCUGCAGAAAAAGCACCGGCUAACUACGUGCCAGCAGCCGCGGUAA